Molecule: long non-coding RNA, 1553 nt
Organism: Hemiscyllium ocellatum (epaulette shark)
Lineage: Eukaryota; Metazoa; Chordata; Chondrichthyes; Orectolobiformes; Hemiscylliidae
Exons: 3
Source: RefSeq, a predicted model, not a curated record
GUCCGUUUUCUGCCUGAUGACCAGAUGCAGUUUCUCUGGACUUUCUUCCCCCUUCCCCAGCAGCUAACGAUUGGGCUGAGUAGUUCACAAGAUUGAACACGUGGACAGGUAAACACACCAUCCCCGGAGAACGGGCUGCUCGCUAGUUGGCCGAUGUUCCAGAAUAUUAACUUUCGUCUACGAUGCCACAGGCUACCUUCAUGCGUACCAUGUCAGUAACUUUUCCAUCUCUCCGCCUCAGUCUAUACAAAAACAAUGCGAUCGUUUCUCGGAGGGAUUGUCACAGGAGAUACAUCGGUUCAUGAAAGAAAAAAGAUCAAGUUACAGGCAAAAAGAAUACAGGGACCGAUAGAAAAAAAAACUAAAGAUUAAGCAGAAUCAGAGAAGAUACUGUUCAAAGAAACAUGGCAAGGGACCAAGAAGACAUCUACAUGCAAGAAAUCUGAUGCAAUGAGAGCUCGCUUUCACACACUUAGUAUUUCCAAAUAAAGAAAAUAGCAUAAAAUUAAUAGCCUUUUCAGGAAAAUGAGGAAAGUGCUUCUCAAUCUAUUUUAGGAAUAUUUUUACCGGUAGAGUGGGCCCUUGUAUUUGCCUCUCUGUAAUACGUGAAUGAAACUGGAAACAGAAAGGGAAGAAAGGAGCCAAUACCUGUUGCUCAGAGAAUGGGAUAUGGGCAUUUAGGAGGAAAUACCUGCCAGAAAAUAUUAUUUAAAUCACAGAUUUCAUUCAUCUAACUUGAGCUCAUUUUAGUGCAAAAUAACUAUCAACAUAGUUUAUGAAGCAGAUCUAAAAUCGAGGAAAUUCACUUAACCUCCAACCACCCUCUAGCACCUACCAAGAAGAUUUAGAAUAGGUUUUAGUGACACUAUGAGCUAGUAAUCUAAAAAACCUAUAAGCCGUUGUCAUUGUUUGAGGUAGAUUUGCAGUACAUUAGUAGCCACAGUGGUAAAACCAUACUGAGACAAUAAUACUGUCUGCACUCUUUAAUAAGUCCGACUCAGCUCUGUUUAUUCUAGCACAGCGGCAUGCUCACUGGAUGAUGAUAAUUAAGUACCAAAUAUACCAUAUUGUGUGGCUCCAUAAUCAAAUAAAAGGAGGAUAAUAUUAUCUGUAUUAAGCCAUUAAUGUAAUUGGUUAUGAAGCAUAAAAUAUGUUAUGUAAUUAAAUAGGCCAGAAAUUAUAUGGCCUAUAUUAAGAAUUAUCCAAGCUGAGAAAAUGUUGUCUCAAUGGCUGUUUUAGGGAACACUGCUUUUAACAUUUUUCUAACUGCAUCAGUAAAGAAAGGAAGGCACGAAAUUGACUCCAUCACUAAUGUACUAUGGUAACCUCCUCAAAUAUCUCACAAGAAACUAUAACCAUUAUUUUAAAUAAUCUGAAACAAUCCAGUGCUAUUGAGUGACUGCAGAGAAAGUCAUUUUUUGUGGGUUGGACAUACAACUUUGAGUACAAAAGGAUUGAAGAUGGUUUAAUAAUGAAAUAGUCUGCCAUUCUUUUUCAAAUGUAAGCAUUAAGCUCAAUGGUAGCAAAGAGUUUCAGUUAUUAAAUAAACUUCA